AGUUGUUGUUGCAAAUAGUUUGUGUAAGAAAGUGUAAUUACUUCAUGUUAGUUGGUUAUAUAAACUUCUACUGAGUGUCUAUUGUCUACUGUCUAUGUUCUUGUUGACACCACUGCCAGAUGGAAACAGGGUUAAUGGUGUUGCAGAUGAUGCCAGAUCUCUUCUCUUGACCGUGGUGGGGGAGAGCAGGGAAGAUGCUGUGUUUUCCAGGGUGGAUUGCAAUCUUCAAAUAUGGAUCAGGAUUGAAGAACAUCCCCUUCUUCAGACCCACUGCUUGGAUGUCUGACAUUAACAAGAGAACAGGAGAUGGGAGAAGCUGAUGAGCCUCCUGUUGCCCAGACUCUGAGUGACAUCCUGAGUCAUCACAGGCUUCAAGACCUACAUGAAGAGAGAUCAACAGAGAGAAAGAUUUAAAAAAAAAAAA
This is a long non-coding RNA of Pangasianodon hypophthalmus (striped catfish), 424 nucleotides long. RefSeq lists it as uncharacterized. NCBI's taxonomy places the organism in Eukaryota, Metazoa, Chordata, Actinopteri, Siluriformes, Pangasiidae. The record is from RefSeq and is a predicted model, not a curated record. The transcript is spliced from 3 exons.